GACAGAGGGGGCAAGCGUUGCUCGGAAUCACUGGGCGUAAAGGGCGCGUAGGCGGGUUGGCAAGUCGGUCGUGAAAGCCCCGGGCUCAACCCGGGAGAGUCGGCCGAGACUGCGGGUCUUGAGGGAGGCAGAGGAGACUGGAAUUCCCGGUGUAGCGGUGAAAUGUGUAGAGAUCGGGAGGAACACCGGUGGCGAAGGCGGGUCUCUGGGCCUACCCUGACGCUGAGGCGCGAAAGCGUGGGGAG
This 245-nucleotide ribosomal RNA is filed under the name uncultured bacterium. Its description in RNAcentral is "partial 16S ribosomal RNA". It matches the Rfam family "Bacterial small subunit ribosomal RNA", at positions 524 to 768 of the family's 1533-position model. The record is from RNAcentral.